CAGAGAGUUAUUAAAUGCAGCAUCAAGUACAAGUAAAACAUCCACUACUAAAACCGUGUUUUGUAGCUAGACGUUUCCCUUUUAUUUUAGCGUAACAUGAUAUAAUUCAAUAAAUUAACACAUUGUUAAUAUUGAACUUUUUUUAAAUUAAAUAAAUAAGGGACAUCACAUGUCUGAUUCAAAUACUGGUACUGUAAAAUGGUUUAACGAAGAUAAAGGAUUCGGUUUCCUUACUCAAGAUAAUGGUGGCGCUGACGUAUUCGUACAUUUUCGUGCUAUCGCAUCAGAAGGUUUCAAAACUCUUGAUGAAGGUCAAAAAGUGACUUUCGAAGUAGAGCAAGGCCCAAAAGGUCUGCAAGCAAGCAACGUUAUCGCUCUUUAAUGAAGCGCUAAUAACGCAAGCUGAUAUUAAAAAAAGAAGGUCGCUAACGCGGCCUUUUUUGUG
Molecule: regulatory RNA element, 445 nt
Organism: Shewanella violacea DSS12
Lineage: Bacteria; Pseudomonadati; Pseudomonadota; Gammaproteobacteria; Alteromonadales; Shewanellaceae
Rfam family: cspA thermoregulator
Source: Rfam